Molecule: RNA transcript, 1975 nt
Organism: Dermochelys coriacea (leatherback sea turtle)
Lineage: Eukaryota; Metazoa; Chordata; Testudines; Dermochelyidae
Gene: TBPL2
Gene name: TATA-box binding protein like 2
Exons: 8
Source: RefSeq, a predicted model, not a curated record
CCGGGGAAGCAGACCGCAAGGGGAAGCGUGGGCUGGGCCCGGACAGGCUGGCGAGACUGGAGCUUUUCCCUGAAGCAGCUGGAUGCGGAACCGCUGCCCGGGGGACCUGCCCUUAGCCAAGCGGGGGGUCCUUGCUUGCAGCUCGGGGCUCGCCCUUUCGCAGACGGGCUUUAUCCCGCGGGGGCCCCCCCCAGACCCCAGUUUAAAGGGGACACGUGCCGGCCCGGGCCCAGCUGGUCGGUUCAUUCCCUCGAUUAGGGCCAGGUGCGAAGGCAGCGCCCUGGAUCGCGCCUGCCCGAGAACAGCCCCCGACAUGCCCCAGCUCGGUCCGCCCCGGCAGGACGCUGCCCGCUUCGGCCCCGCAUGGAGCCCUCGCUGGAGAACUACUGGGACCGGAGCCCGGGCCAGGAUGACCUUUCAUCAGCUGGUCCUCAACUAUAUACUCCCAUGAGCCCUUUUGACACAGACCUGCCGAUUCAAGCAGCUCAAAGUGCAUCAUUCGGUUCUCAUCUUGACCAAUCCAAAGAACUUUCUACAGACUUCUCUUCUGUGGAUCUCAGCUUUCUUCCAGAUGAUCUUAACCAAGAAAAUGGAGAACAAACUCGUUCGGAAGAUGGCCAUGAAAUGCAAAGAGAGCAAUACAGGUCACAGUCGGCAGAGCAGGACAGUGGGUUCUUAAAUGACAGCAAUUUCUCACAACUGAGCUAUGCGGACGCAACUCAGCCAUCACCUGAAACAUCUGGUGCCUGUCCCCCUUUGACACCUAUGACCCCUAUCACCCCAAUGACGCCCGUUUCAGAAAGCUCUGGCAUCGUUCCUCAGUUACAGAAUAUAGUGUCCACUGUAAACUUGGCUUGUAAACUAGAUCUGAAGAAUAUAGCUCUGCAUGCCAGAAAUGCAGAAUAUAAUCCAAAGAGGUUUGCUGCUGUGAUAAUGAGAAUCAGAGAACCAAGAACAACAGCCCUUAUAUUCAGUUCCGGCAAAAUGGUCUGCACGGGAGCAAAAAGUGAAGAGCAAUCGCGGCUUGCAGCUAGGAAGUACGCACGUGUGGUACAGAAGCUUGGGUUCCCUGCCAAGUUCCUGGACUUCAAAAUACAGAAUAUGGUGGGCAGUUGUGAUGUGAGGUUCCCCAUCAGGCUGGAAGGAUUGGUUCUAACUCAUCAGCAAUUCAGUAGUUAUGAACCAGAACUAUUUCCUGGCCUUAUUUAUAGGAUGGUCAAACCAAGGAUUGUGUUGCUUAUCUUCGUGUCUGGAAAAGUUGUACUGACUGGUCCCAUGAAGUCAUCCUGGCCAUCUACACUCCACUGAUGCCUCCAGAAUACAUUUUUGGAUGUCAUAACUACAAAAAAAAAAAAAAAAAAAAACCACCAAACCACACAACAACAAACACACCUCUGCUGAGGCACACAGCAGGCCCAUAAGGGCUCAGGUGCCAAAGAGCGUUCUGAAAUCUAUGAGGCAUUUGAAAACAUCUAUCCUAUUCUAAAGGGUUUCAAGAAAGCAUCUUAAAAUUUCUUUCCAAAAAAAUGAAGAGGAAUAUAUAGGUUUGUAUGUUUAUGCAUAGAACCAAUGUAACAGUAUUCCGAUACCUGAAUACAGAAUUGUGGAUUAGUAGGCAUAUAAAGCCAUUUUGAACACACUAUAAACUAUGAUUAGAUGCACGCUUUUUGUAAGUAGCAUGAAACAAUUUUGCUGUAAAACUUGAUGUUUCUAAUGAGUUCAGUCAUUGUAUCAAGUUCUGUUAAAGAAUUCACAAUAAGCAAAAGUACAUUUACUUUUGAACAGGAAUGUAAAUUAGGACCGUUAUUGCACUAUAAAAUAUUUUACAGUACAAUUAAUGAAAAUCUAUUUUUCUGCAUUAGAAUGCAUGUAUCAAUGGAGGUUAGUCUAUAGAUCAGUCUUCUUAAAAUCCGUAAGAUUUUGAUCAAUAUCUUGUAGCACUAACAGCUAAUUUCAUGUUAAUUCAGACCUUAUU